ACACAUCAGUGUUUGUGAGUAACUUUUCUUUUCAUAUCGACGCCGCCGUCGGGCUGCCAAAAGCAAAAAAAAAUGAAUUUUGUUUUCGCGUUUAGUCGCUGCUGUUUUUUUUUCGCUCAGUGCUGCUGCAACAGAUUAUAUUAUAACGUAGGAAUACUGCUGCUAAAAGCGAACAGUUCCCGUUCUCCAGCUAGUGUUCCUAUUGAAAGAUGUUCGUCGCGAUGGCAGGAACUGGGUGCCACACGUGCAACAAAAUUUGGAAGCCGGACAAUGGAUAACGUAGAAAAAAUAUCCUUGGAAUGAUUGCUACCCGGAAAUGGAAAUUGGCAGGCUAGAGAGGCAGUGAGAAGUUUUGGCAGAAGAAGUUGAAUUGCUUGUUUCAUAAGUGGUGUAUCGGUGGAUAGAAUUUGAUGUUGGCAUGUUACGAAUAAUAAAAACACAUAUUUUAGAAAUAAAAUAAUUUUCCGCAUGUUUAAAAUGCGAUCUAAA
Molecule: long non-coding RNA, 489 nt
Organism: Aedes albopictus (Asian tiger mosquito)
Lineage: Eukaryota; Metazoa; Arthropoda; Insecta; Diptera; Culicidae
Exons: 2
Source: RefSeq, a predicted model, not a curated record